UUCAGCAUUUAUGUUUGAACAGUGUCAUGC
RNAcentral lists this non-coding RNA (30 nucleotides) under Rattus norvegicus (Norway rat). Lineage: Eukaryota; Metazoa; Chordata; Mammalia; Rodentia; Muridae. The record is from RNAcentral.